This 441-nucleotide ribosomal RNA is filed under the name uncultured bacterium. Its description in RNAcentral is "partial 16S ribosomal RNA". It matches the Rfam family "Bacterial small subunit ribosomal RNA", at positions 338 to 795 of the family's 1533-position model. The record is from RNAcentral.
CCUACGGGAGGCAGCAGUGGGGAAUAUUGCACAAUGGGCGAAAGCCUGAUGCAGCAACGCCGCGUGAAGGAAGAAGGCCUUCGGGUCGGAAACUUCGGUCCGUGGGGAAGAAGAACUGACGGUACCCAAGGAGGAAGCCCCGGCUAACUACGGGCCAGCAGCCGCGGUAAUACGUGGGGGGCAAGCGUUAUCCGGAAUUAUGGGGCGAAAAGAGUACGUAGGUGGAAACCUAAGCGCAGGGUUUAAGGGAAUGGCUCAACCAUUGUUCGCCCUUCGAACUGGGAUGCUGGAGUGCAGGCGAGGGAAGCGGAAUUCCUAGUGUAGCGGUGAAAUGCGUAGAUAUUAGGAGGAACACCAGUGGCGAAGGCGGCUUUCUGGACUGUAACUGACACUGAGGUACGAAAGCGUGGGGAGCAAACAGGAUUAGAUACCCGUGUAGUC